Molecule: long non-coding RNA, 3555 nt
Organism: Amphiprion ocellaris (clown anemonefish)
Lineage: Eukaryota; Metazoa; Chordata; Actinopteri; Pomacentridae
Exons: 2
Source: RefSeq, a predicted model, not a curated record
UUGUAUAAGACAUAUGUAAGAAUCAGAACAUGUAUUGUUAAGAACUGUCAACAUCCAGACUACAGAUUCUGUGUUUUGGCUGCAGGUUUGACAUUUUUCUGCAGUUUGUUUCUUCAAAGUAGGUUUCAUCCCUGCAGUCCGUACAUAGAGUUUCAACUAAAUCAUCAGAAAAAUGGACUCAACAAGCAAGUUUAGUAUGUCGUCUGAAAUGUCACCAAAACGUCACAGGUUAGUAUGUCGUCCAAAAUCCUGCAAAAAUGUCAUAGUUCAGUAUGUCGUCUAAAAUGUCACCAAAACAUCAUAGUUUAGUAUGUCGUCCAAAAUGUCAUUGUUUAAUAUGUCAUCCAAAAUGUUACAAAAAUGUCAUAGUUUAGUACAGGGGCGAUUCUAGGAUCAGAGGUUUAGGGGUGCUGAGCAGUGUUGCCAACUUGGCGACUUUCUCACUAAAUCUGGCGACUUUUUUUGUCAAGAGACUAGAGACAAAUCUUUCUGGCGUUUUGGAGACUCUGACAUCAGUGGCGGAUCUUCCGUGGGGGCACGUGGGGGCAGUGCCCCCGCCCCCUGUGAUUUGAUUGGCCACCCCGUGUGCCCCCCCCAAAAUUUUCGUCGGAAAUUUACAUUACUGAAACUCCGAUUUCCGACGCUCCUGAACGCAACUUCGUUGUCCGACUGCAACUGAAUGCACCAAUGACGUUAGUUUGAUCUUUUGAUUGUAUUUCGUUUGGAUUUGAAGAAGCUUUGAAGACGUUUCCUGAUGCUAGAGGAGAAGACAAGCAGCUUUGUACCUUUGCGGUAAGAAGACUAUGGCCGUUUCUCAGCACGUAACUGUCCGUACUUGCGUUCUCACGUACAUCAUCAUCGAGACUGCAGACAAGUGUGCAUAGAUAUGAAUGAGUAGAUAGGACACGCCCCCUUUGAGCUGUGUGCUACAGCGAGGCUAAGCUAGUGGGGGCAAAGUUUCAGUGCAUUCCGUUGAUGUAGACGGCGUGAAAACGGAAACAAGAAGUAUGCCGGCUCACUGUGCUGCAUACAGUUACACACUGUGUCGUACGAUUGAGACAAGGAAACUUGGAAUGACUUUUCAUAGGUGAGAAUAGUUUUUCGCUCUUUUUUCAUGAGUAAAUCUUGAGAGCUUCCAGUCUAUGAGAGCUAACUAGUUAGCCACUAGCAAAACACUAAGGCGAGCUAGCAGCUUGACAACCAAAUACCAGACGAUUAAUAGUAGCUGUAGUAUAGUUGUACAAGCAGUAGUAGUAAUACUAAAAGUACAAGCAGCAGUAGUAGUAUAAACAGCUGUUAGAGUCGUAGAAGUAGUAUCAGCAUUUGUAAUAGUAUUACAAGUUGUAGUAGCAGUGCCAGUAUCAGCAGCAGUAGUUAGUGUACUAUCACUACUACUAGUAGUAGUCACAUUGCUAUUACUACCACCAAUACUACCAAUAGUAGUUAUAAAGCCUAACUCAUGUAUAUCCAGAUUACCAUCUAUGUUCUUCCUCCAAACCCAUUUUAUGAUUGGGAUUACAGGCAGUUCUUUAGGACUGCUCUCAAAUAAUUGAAAUGUUACUAAACAAGGUUAUACUUAUCAAAUUAAAUAACUCUGGUCUCCAGUAUAUUAGCUACUUCGGUUGUUUGGACUUAAUUUAUUAGCAUGAUUUCUUUUUAAAUAUGUUGUGUACAGACUUAUUUAUUUGUCUGUCUACUUUUCUUACUCCAUGUAGGUUUCCACUUUUCAUAAAAGUUCAGCAGACAGGUGCUCUGCUUUGGAGUGUGACGAUGUCGUCGGUGAUGUGGAGAGUGAAGUUUCUGUUUCACCCACAGCGUGCUUUAGGGCAACCGGGUCAGAUUUGAUGUUUGAAGUACUGACUGACAACUCAGAUUUAACUGUCUGUAAUUCCGUUUUGAUGGGUGUUAAAUUUUCACUCAAAGCCGCCAGGAGCUGGGUCUUUAAAAUAACCGCCAUCUCGUUACAGAGUGAAAGCAGCAGUUCCUCCUGAAGGUCAGAGAUUGCAGCAUCUGAGGGCCUCUUCAAAAGAAGACAUCAUUGAUGAAGGUGUUCUGGAGCAGGACCAGAAAGACCACGACCAAGCAGCCUUCAGAUCUUAGACAGCGUCUCCCUCAGGUCCCUCUCUAUCUCCCCACACAUCCACCAACCACUGGAACACAUCUCCAAAGUUCUGCCGGGCCAGCUCAGCUUCCCCUCAGAAGAAGUGCUGCCACCUGCCAGAUGAAGGAGCCUUUUGAGAGGCAGCUGGCAUCGUGAUUGGACUGUACUUUGGUCUGUUCCAAUCCAGCUUCAGCUCCAGAGACGGCAGGCGGGACGAGUCAACGGAGGCCUGGUGGACGAAGGCAUGCAGCUGAGUACAAUCCAGAAAACAACAGAGGAGGAGUGCAGGGCCAGAACAAACAGAGUAGCAUCGUAUGUCUCUUAGAAAACAUCAUAGUAGAACCUUUGGUAUGAAAAAAACGGCAUCAUAUACAUCGUAGAUUGUACAAAUAAUAAGUCAAAGGAAAGAGACAUACAUUGUAGAAUUGUAGUAAUUGUGGGCUGACUGAUUUACUGAUUAUCAGUAUUUUAUUUUUUACUGAUUUACAGUAAUAAAUACAUUUUAAAAUGGCGCUACUUUGGCUCUGAACCUUUAUCUACCUGUGGUCACUCUGUCUUCUGGAAUGAUUUGAUUGGUUAUACAUCACGAAUAAAACUCCUUUAACUUAACAUCUGUAAACAAAACAAAAACGUAUCAGCAAAAUUUUCUGUUAGAGUUUGUGUUCAUGUAAGUUUAACUCCAAGAUUUUAAAUACUUUCAUUCGCUGCAAAUGAAUAUCUACUCCAAAUGUCUCAGUAAUAAUCAUUAUCAGCCUUAAAAACCCACAAAACACCCCUCUAUACUCGACCACACUUAGUACAGUCCGGUUCCCCCUUCUAUAAAUCUGAUUGGAAUCAUCCACUUCCUGUUUGUCAAAGUGGCCUUCUACCUGGACAGGUUUUGUUGGAGCUCAUGCAACAAACAUUUUGGGUAAGUGCACUUUAACAUGGAUGGAUGACACUGAAUUAGAGUCUGUGUUAAUGAGACUGAGUUAAGAUGUGUAGCUCUGUCAUUAAAUAGUAAAUUAUUUCUCAGAAUUCACAGAGAAAAGUCUGAAAUGUUUGCUACGUUAGCAUCCCACUUGUUCUUUGGCUCAGCUAAAGCUAACUCUCUCCAACUUCUGGAUCUCUUGAGUUGCUUGUUGUUAAAAUAUCUUGCUAGAGGUGCUGAAGCUCAGAAAGUCUGAGAUGUUUGUUCAGAAUAAGCUCAUUCUCAAGUCUUAUCUGAACUGUCCUCUUUUGUUUGAACUUUCCCUAAACUUAGGAGUUAAUGACAGAGCAGCACAUCCAGACUCAGUCUCAUUUAUGUAGAGAUUAAACUUCAGUGUCAUUCAUUGAUGUUAAAGUGCACUUUUUCAAAUGUUUGUUGCACGUGCUCCCGACCAAACCAGUCCAGGUGGAAGACGAUGUGAAGAGAAAGCUCCAGAGGAUGAAUAUCACACAUUUACGUUGGAAAUAAAUGUCCUUUAAUUAGA